Molecule: long non-coding RNA, 378 nt
Filed under: Vitis vinifera (wine grape)
Lineage: Eukaryota; Viridiplantae; Streptophyta; Magnoliopsida; Vitales; Vitaceae
Description: long non-coding RNA (VVIN_LNC004638)
Source: RNAcentral
GCAGGGUUCGACCCGGUUCACCUGGGCUCCAACGCCUUCAAGCAGGCGAGCAUGCUGUUGGCUUUAUUCGCGGGUGGGGACGGGUACAGAGUGGAAGAAAAUAAUGGGUGUCUGAUGCUUGGCUGGCACACUCGUCCCCUCAUCGCCACCUCCGCAUGGCAACUCAACUCCAACUUCAACCCCACCUCCACCUCUGCCUCCACCUCUGCUCAUUCUCAGUGACAUUGGGUCUGGAUGGCAACGCCCUUUUACUACUCUUUCUUUCCCUCCUGAGUCUCUCUGACUUGACUCUCCAUUCCUGAUUUUUCUCUCUUCUUGCUAGAUUGUAAUCUAUUUGCUUAGAUAUUUUUCCUUUAAUUAUCAUAUCAGGGUGGACCG